AUCUCUUAAUAAUUUAUUCAAAAUUUUAUGUUUCUCUGCCAUUGAAUCCACAGGCAAAUCUGAGAAUUCACCUUCAUUCAGGUUUAGCCAGUGAUGGAUCACAGCCAUUUCAGCAGAUUCUCUGGUGUUUUUUAUUUGUUUGUUUUUUGUCAUUUUAGGUCUGCAUCCAUGGCAUAUGGAGGUUUCCAGGCUAGGGAUCUAAUCAGAGCUGCAGCUACUGGUCUAUACCAGAGCCACAGCAACGCCAGGUCCGAGCCACGUCUGUGAUCUGCAUCACAGCUCAUGGCAACCCGGAUCCUUAACCCACUGAGUGAGGCCAGGGAUCGAAUCCAAAACCUCAUGGUUCCUAGUUGGAUGUGUUUCCACUGCGCCACUAUGGGCACUCCAUAUUCUCUGGUUUUAAAUGAAAUUGUUCAUGCAACAGCUUCUGCUCCCAAGACUCUCAUAAAUGCCUGUAGCUCUCUGCCUCAUGCUCCCUCAAAGCUCACAAAUGGCAGUUUUAUUGCUUAAAACCAGGUUGUGUUACACAAAGUCAGCUACAACUCAGUAUUUCCUUACUGUGUAUUUUAGGGUUGCUUUAACAAAAUCUGAUUUAUGGACAUGCUAGGUAGAUUAUCUAUUGAGUAGACAAAAGGAGAAGACAAAGGGAGAAAUGCCAUGUAGUGACACAACUGAUACACACAUCUCCACUUCGCUCUUAGCAGCCAGGCUCCUUCCUUGACUCUGGUCAUAGACAAGGGAGGAAGGCCUCAUUCUAACCCCAGGGUUCUCCUAAUUCCUUUGGAUCAGAGCUAGGAUAAUGCUCAUAGCUGACAUGGAGUUUGCCAGCUUCCAUAACCCAUAGUUAAAAUGGUUUCUUUCUAUCCAUGACUUCUUCAUUCAUGCCCGGAGACUUCUUGAGCACAAGCAUUUCUGGAUGUACUAGAGAUGCAGAGAGGCUAAACUGUGGUGUCAGCCCUUAAAGAGCUCACAGUCUAUGCAGGAGACUGGGUGAGUCAAACAAUAGGUACAGUGCGGAAGGGUCAGCACAGUGGGGGGCUUGGGGUGCGACUGACUGUGCUUUAGGGCGUCUUGGAAGGCUUCACUGUGCAGAGAACAUGAACUUGAUCGUCACGGGUGACUCCCAUUUACAAGGAGAAGAAAGGAAGUGAUUCCUUGAUGAAAGAGAAGGGAGUGGAUCUGCAAAGGCAGAGGUGACGCCAGAGCUUCCAACUAAGAGCACUUAGAGGGGCUUAAGUGCAAUAAUCUGUUUGAAGAAGGGUUCACGACACCUGCAGUUUAACAUAUAUAGCAGCCAAGUCGUUUUUUAUAUAACCACCUAAUGAAAUGAGAAAUUAGAGACUUAUCUGGGGCAUAAUAACUAACUAUGGGCUUGGAUAAAAAUGGCAGGAAGGCCAAAGCACCUUGACCACCUUCCAAGGCACCUCUUGGCAUCGAAUCUGCAGGGAAGUGAAAGGACGUGGAAUGCUUGCGAAGGCAGAAGUGUGGUUUGCCUAGAGGAGAGGCUGUCUCACUCUCUGUGUUGGAUGCUGAUAUCGGACAGGUUGGGUAGCAUUCAUGGUGAAGGGCUCUGCGGUGCAUGUCUCAGGAGUUUGGACUUGAUGUUUUGUAGAGCGGUGGUUCCUAGCCUGGAGGUGACCUUGUUCGCAGGGCACAUUCGGCAAUGUCCGCAAACCAUUUUGGUUGUCACAGCUGGGGGUUGGCGAUGGAUUCAUUUCAUUUUGUGGCUGUAACAAAUUACCCCAAACACAAAUUUAUUAUCUUACACUUGCAGAGGUCAGAAGCUUGAGUGGGUCUCCUUGGGCUGAAGUCCAGGUGCUGGCAGGGCUGUGUUCCUUCCGAAGGCUCCAGGGUCAGUUUCCUUUGCUUUCCAGUGUCCCCCUCCAGCCAUGUUGCAUCUCUUGGGCCCUUCAAUCAUUUCUUCCUCAGACUCUCUGAAGAAUGCUUGUGAUUUCAUAGGGCUCACCUGGAUAAUGCAAAGUGCUCUCAUUGUUUUAAGGUCACUUGAUUUGCAACCUUUAAUUCUAUCUGUGGCCUUAAUUCCCCUUCCGCAUGUAACCUAACAUAGUGACAGGUUCCAGAGAUUGGGACAUAGAUCUCUUUGGUGGGACAUUAUUCUGCCUACUUGAAGGUGGUGCCAGUGGCAUCUAGUGGGGGGAGGCCAGGGGUGCUGCUCCACACCCUGCAAUGCGCAGGACAGCUUCCCUAACAGAGAAUUACCUGGCGCUCCAUGUCACGUGUGCCCAGGCUGAGAAACCCUGUGGAGGAAAUGGGGGGAAAUGGGUGAUUUUUAAGCCUGAGUGUGUAACAGGAUUGGAUAUGUGUUUUAGAGAGCUCACUCUAGAGUCUCUGGGGGCCAUGCAUCAGUAGUAGAGUGAAACAAGUGGGCGGACAGAUCCUCAGAGGAGGUGGCCUGGGGAAACCAUGCCGAGCACCCUAUACACAUGUGGGAGUUGGCAGAGAAACGUAAUACUUCUGUAUGUCUUACCUUCCCAUUUUAGCAGAUUGUUUUCUUACACCUAUUGAACUGCUUCCGAUAGGUCGGUCUCCGUAGACCAGUGGUUCUCAGCCAGCGUGUGAGUCUGCAGCCUGGGCAGAUUUGGCAAUACCUAUGGGCAUUUUUGAUUGCCGGAGAGGUGGCUGGGGAGGGGGUGUGUGCUACCAGCACCUGAUGGGUAGAAGCCAGAGCUGCUGCUGAUCAUUCUACAGUGCACAGGACAGACCGCCACAACAAAUCUCUACUCAAAAUUUCACUAGCAUGGAGGUUGAGAAUCCCUAUGUAACGAACUACGUUGUACAAGAAGCUGAAUUCUAGGUUUUGCUUUCCAGUAUCUUUUUCUCUCAUGCUCCUGGCUUUAUUCUUUGCCAUUUCUUCUUCUUUCCUGGCAUAUGUCAACCAAGGCUUUGAAUGGGAUAAAACCACCUUUUCAAAAGGUAUUGAGGAGUUCCCGUCGUGGCGCAGUGGUUAACGAAUCCGACUAGGAACCAUGAGGAUGCGGGAUCGAUCCCUGCCCUCGCUCAGUGGGUGAAGGAUCCGGCGUUGCCGUGAGCUGUAGUGUAGGUCGCAGAUGCGGCUCGGGUCCCGCGUUGCUGUGGCUGUGGUGUAGGCCGGCAGCUACAGCUCCAAUUUGACCCCUACCCUGGGAACCUCCAUAUGCCGAGGAAGUGGCCCAAGAAGUGGCAAAAAGACAAAAAAAAAAAAAAAA
Molecule: long non-coding RNA, 3206 nt
Filed under: Sus scrofa (pig)
Lineage: Eukaryota; Metazoa; Chordata; Mammalia; Artiodactyla; Suidae
Description: lncRNA (ENSSSCG00000054625.1)
Source: RNAcentral